AACGCGAAGAACCUUACCCAGGCUUGACAUCCUUGGAAGCACUGCGAAAGCAGAGUGUGCCUUUUGGAGCCAAGUGACAGGUGUUGCAUGGCCGUCGUCAGCUCGUGUCGUGAGAUGUUUGGUUAAGUCCAUCAACGAGCGCAACCCUUGUGAAUAGUUGAAUUUUUCUAUUCAGACUGCCCUGGUAACAGGGAGGAAGGGGGGGAUAAUGUCAGGUCAGUAUUUCCCUUACGUCUGGGGCUACAAACACGCUACAAUGGCCGGUACAAAGGGCUGCCAAGUCGCGAGACGGAGCAAAUCCCAUCAAAGCCGGUCCCAGUUCGGAUUGCAGGCUGAAACCCGCCUGCAUGAAGUCGGAAUCGCUAGUAACGGUAAGUCAGCACAUUACCGUGAAUACGUUCCCGGGUCUUGUACACACCG
This 420-nucleotide ribosomal RNA is filed under the name uncultured bacterium. Its description in RNAcentral is "bacterial SSU rRNA". It matches the Rfam family "Bacterial small subunit ribosomal RNA", at positions 958 to 1392 of the family's 1533-position model. The record is from RNAcentral.